This 254-nucleotide non-coding RNA is filed under the name Enterococcus sp. RNAcentral describes it as "T-box sequence". It matches the Rfam family "T-box leader". From Rfam's summary of the family: Uncharged tRNA acts as the effector for transcription antitermination of genes in the T-box leader family. The record is from RNAcentral. Lineage: Bacteria; Bacillati; Bacillota; Bacilli; Lactobacillales; Enterococcaceae.
UAACUAGCGUUGAAAAGGAAAGUAUGUUUUAGGAAAGUUUAAAGAGACCUCGGAUGGUGUGAAAGAGGAACUGGAAAGAAGCAGAAAAUGGCCUUUGAGCAUAAAAAAGUGAGCAAGUAGUUGUAAACUUUUUUCGGGAGUUCCCGUUACCGGACAACAGUAUUCAGAGACUUUUCUUGCGUACUGGGUGAGGCUAUUGUUUUGAGACAAUAGCGAAUAAAGGUGGUAACACGAUUAAUGCUUUCGUCCUUUGU